RNAcentral lists this transfer RNA (76 nucleotides) under candidate division WWE3 bacterium. RNAcentral's name for it is "tRNA-Val". It matches the Rfam family "tRNA". From Rfam's summary of the family: Transfer RNA (tRNA) molecules are approximately 80 nucleotides in length. The record is from RNAcentral. Lineage: Bacteria; candidate division WWE3.
GGGUCCAUAGCUCAGUUGGUAGAGCGUUGCAUUCACAUUGCAAAGGCCUCUGGUUCGAUCCCAGGUGGACCCACCA